UAAAAAGCUAAGAUAAGGAAUAGUAAUAAUAAUAACUUAAACAGAAAGUUGCCGGUUGAUGAGAGGCGCGCUAGGGAUAUUAUGAAUACACCUUUGAGCUUCACUUUUGAAUGCAGUAGGAAGUGACGUGUGCACACGUUAUAGUGCAGAGUUUUUAACUCACUGAGGUAGAUAAUGUGAAUUAUCUAUAAACAAAGGUGGUAACGCGAGAUAUACCCUCGUCCUUUAG
RNAcentral lists this non-coding RNA (229 nucleotides) under Intestinibacter bartlettii. Its description in RNAcentral is "Clostridium bartlettii T-box sequence". It matches the Rfam family "T-box leader". From Rfam's summary of the family: Uncharged tRNA acts as the effector for transcription antitermination of genes in the T-box leader family. T-boxes are found upstream of many aminoacyl-tRNA synthetase genes and some amino acid biosynthetic genes usually in Gram-positive bacteria. The anticodon of a specific tRNA base pairs to a specifier sequence within the T-box motif, and the NCCA acceptor tail of the tRNA base pairs to a conserved bulge in the T-box antiterminator hairpin. Lineage: Bacteria; Bacillati; Bacillota; Clostridia; Peptostreptococcales; Peptostreptococcaceae. The record is from RNAcentral.